UUUCCGGUUGAUCCUGCCGGACCUGACUGCUAUCGGAUGAUACUAAGCCAUGCGAGUCAUUGUAGCAAUACAAGGCAUACGGCUCAGUAACGCGUAGUCAACCUAACCUAUGGACGGGAAUAACCUCGGGAAACUGAGAAUAAUGCCCGAUAGAACAUUAUGCCUGGAAUGGUUUAUGUUCCAAAUGAUUUAUCGCCGUAGGAUGGGACUGCGGCCUAUCAGUUUGUUGGUGAGGUAAUGGCCCACCAAGACUAUUACAGGUACGGGCUCUGAGAGGAGUAGCCCGGAGAUGGGUACUGAGACACGGACCCAGGCCCUAUGGGGCGCAGCAGGCGAGAAAACUUUGCAAUGUGCGAAAGCACGACAAGGUUAAUCCGAGUGGUUUCUGCUAAAGAAACCUUUUGUCAGUCCUAGAAACACUGAUGAAUAAGGGGCGGGCAAGUUCUGGUGUCAGCCGCCGCGGUAAAACCAGCACCUCAAGUGGUCAGGAUGAUUAUUGGGCCUAAAGCAUCCGUAGCCGGCUCUGUAAGUUUUCGGUUAAAUCUGUACGCUCAACGUACAGGCUGCCGGGGAUACUGCAAAGCUAGGGAGUGGGACAGGUAGACGGUACUCGGUAGGAAGGGGUAAAAUCUUUGAUCUAUUGAUGACCCCUGUGGAGAAAGCGGCCUACCAAAACACGUCGACAGGGAGGGAUUAAGCUGGGAGCCA
This 708-nucleotide ribosomal RNA is filed under the name uncultured archaeon. Its description in RNAcentral is "bacterial SSU rRNA". It matches the Rfam family "Archaeal small subunit ribosomal RNA", at positions 1 to 720 of the family's 1478-position model. The record is from RNAcentral.